This 478-nucleotide ribosomal RNA is filed under the name uncultured bacterium. RNAcentral's name for it is "partial 16S ribosomal RNA". It matches the Rfam family "Bacterial small subunit ribosomal RNA", at positions 28 to 507 of the family's 1533-position model. The record is from RNAcentral.
GACGAACGCUGGCGGCGUGCUUAACACAUGCAAGUCGAACGGGAUUUAGUAAACAGAAGCCUCGGUGGAAGAUUACUAAUGAGAGUGGCGAACGGGUGAGUAACGCGUGAGCAACCUGCCUAUGACAGUGGGAUAGCCUCGGGAAACCGGGAUUAAUACCGCAUAAAAUCGUAGAAACACAUGUUUUAACGGUCAAAGAUUUAUCGGUCAUAGAUGGGCUCGCGUCUGAUUAGCUAGUUGGUGAGAUAACAGCCCACCAAGGCGACGAUCAGUAGCCGGUCUGAGAGGAUGAACGGCCACAUUGGAACUGAGACACGGUCCAAACUCCUACGGGAGGCAGCAGUGGGGAAUAUUGCACAAUGGGGGAAACCCUGAUGCAGCGACGCCGCGUGAACGAAGAAGGUAUUCGUAUCGUAAAGUUCUGUCCUAUGGGAAGAUAAUGACAGUACCAUAGAAGAAAGCUCCGGCUAACUACGUG